Non-coding RNA from Caenorhabditis elegans, 45 nucleotides. The record is from Rfam. Lineage: Eukaryota; Metazoa; Nematoda; Chromadorea; Rhabditida; Rhabditidae.
CCAACGGCCCUCUUUAGGGCCACAUAUCUAAAAUCCUAUUUUUCU